Molecule: ribosomal RNA, 422 nt
Filed under: uncultured bacterium
Lineage: Bacteria
Description: bacterial SSU rRNA
Rfam family: Bacterial small subunit ribosomal RNA
Source: RNAcentral
UAAGGAAUAUUGGACAAUGGAGGCAACUCUGAUCCAGCCAUGCCGCGUGAAGGAAUAAGGCCCUAUGGGUUGUAAACUUCUUUUAGACGGGACAAAACCCCUUUACGUGUAAAGGGUUGAUGGUACUGUCAGAAUAAGCAUCGGCUAACUUCGUGCCAGCAGCCGCGGUAAUACGAAGGAUGCAAGCGUUAUCCGGAAUUAUUGGGUUUAAAGGGUGCGUAGGCGGACUAAUAAGUCAGUGGUGAAAGCCUGCAGCUUAACUGCAGAAUUGCCAUUGAUACUGUUAGUCUUGAGUACAGUUGAGNUAGGCGGAAUGUGUCAUGUAGCGGUGAAAUGCUUAGAUAUGACACAGAACACCGAUUGCGAAGGCAGCUUGCUAAGCUGUAACUGACGCUGAGGCACGAAAGCGUGGGGAGCAAACA